UACAGUGGUCUCAAGCGUUGUUCGGAUUCAUUGGGCGUAAAGGGUGCGUAGGCGGCGCGGUAAGUCGGGUGUGAAAUCUCGGAGCUUAACUCCGAAACUGCAUUCGAUACUGCCGUGCUUGAGGACUGGAGAGGAGACUGGAAUUUACGGUGUAGCGGUGAAAUGCGUAGAUAUCGUAAGGAAGACCAGUGGCGAAGGCGGGUCUCUGGACAGUUCCUGACGCUGAGGCACGAAGGUCAGGGGAGCAAACGGG
This 253-nucleotide ribosomal RNA is filed under the name uncultured bacterium. Its description in RNAcentral is "partial 16S ribosomal RNA". It matches the Rfam family "Bacterial small subunit ribosomal RNA", at positions 524 to 776 of the family's 1533-position model. The record is from RNAcentral.